CCUACGGGAGGCAGCAGUGGGGAAUAUUGCACAAUGGGGGAAACCCUGAUGCAGCGACGCCGCGUGAGUGAGGAAGUAUUUCGGUAUGUAAAGCUCUAUCAGCAGGGAAGAAAAUGACGGUACCUGACUAAGAAGCCCCGGCUAACUACGUGCCAGCAGCCGCGGUAAUCCGUAGGGGGCAAGCGUUAUCCGGAUUUACUGGGUGUAAAGGGAGCGUAGACGGCUAAUCAAGUCAGAAGUGAAACCCCAGGGCUCAACGUUGGGACUGCUUUUGAAACUGAGUAGCGAGAGUGAAGGAGAGGGAAGCGGAAUGCCUAGUGUAGCGGUGAAAGGCGUAGAUAUUAGGAGGAACACCAGUGGCGAAGGCGGCUUACUGGACUGUAACUGACGUGGAGGCUCGAAAGCGUGGGGAGCAAACAGGAUUAGAUACCCUUGUAGUC
This 440-nucleotide ribosomal RNA is filed under the name uncultured bacterium. Its description in RNAcentral is "partial 16S ribosomal RNA". It matches the Rfam family "Bacterial small subunit ribosomal RNA", at positions 338 to 795 of the family's 1533-position model. The record is from RNAcentral.